Molecule: long non-coding RNA, 3018 nt
Organism: Triticum dicoccoides
Lineage: Eukaryota; Viridiplantae; Streptophyta; Magnoliopsida; Poales; Poaceae
Exons: 8
Source: RefSeq, a predicted model, not a curated record
CGUAGGCCGUCGUGUCGGAGACGGGGCUCACAGCCGGCGCCGUGAAGGUGAGAAAGCAGAGCCGUGGCUCGGGAUGGUUCUGUGCCCCUGAUCGGUGGCUCAGGAACCCUGCUUUCCGGCAGGCAGCGGUAUAGGCGGAAGUAAAUAACAAGGCGGAGCUGCCUCCCACCUCUGGAUAAGGACUGUUGAAUCGCCAUUGUCGCCUGUGCAGAUCUGCGGUGGAGCGAAACCAGGCGGCGCUUUGUCGGGAUGGUGUUCUUGCAGCAAACCGAUUAGGAGCACUGCGGUGAUGGAAGAAGUGAACGACAGCCAGCUUCCGAUGGAGCCGCUUCACUACCCGGCGAUGGCGACUGAAGCUGAGCAGCUCCCGCCCAUGGCGACUGGUAGCGUUCAGGGGCAGAUCUGUGCGGCCGAGGGGGGAGCCAUAGGCGACGGGGAAGCCGAGCCGCAGGCAUCUGAACAAUCAAUUGGACAGAUUGAUCCUGAGACUCCAGGCUGGACUCGCAGGGUUAGAAUUGGAGCAGCUGCACCCGGAAGGGCACCUUGCCGUGGGCGAAUCAGCGCCCUUGAGAAGGCGAUACGGGGGUUUGCUGAUCAACCAGGGGACAUGGUAAUUGUCCCAGCACUUGGUACAAGCUUCGAUACACUCGGGGAGGCAUAUGACUUUUACAAUCUCUACUCGCGGGAGAAGGGUUUUGGAAUGUGGGGAGUACAAAGUGCAAGCAAGAAAUUGUUUGUGGCUGUGCGGGAAAAGCUGGAGUGGAGAACACUAGAGCUUGCCGAUGCGAGUGCCCUGCACUGAUAAUGCUGCUCCGUUCAAAGGACAAUGGUUGGUACAUAGCUGAGCAUCAUGAGCAUCACAGCCACUCAUUGUCUACGACAUAUGGGCAGACAAUACACUGGCCUUCACACGAGCACAUCGACAUUGACAAAAGAGACUUGGUUGAGCAAUUGCGUCAGAACAAUGUGAAUCUAGCCAAAGUAUAUAGCAUCGUCGGAAGGGUUUUUUCGGCUCGAUGGAGAAGGUGCCUUUCACAAAACGAGCUCUGAAGAAUUUGUGUGCUAAAAUCAGUAGAGAGCAAGCAGAAGAUGACGCGAGGAAAACUACGAGGUUUUUGCAGAACUCGGCUCAAGAUAUCCACACUUCACCUAUCGUGUACAAGCGGAACAAAAAGCGUGAAGUAGGUGCGCCAUGCGUUGUAGGACGGCGAGUCGAGGUCGAGGAUGACGGGCACAUGAUCCUUGAUGUGGAGCUCAUUGAGGCGAUCCGAGGUGAACAUGGCGCCGGUAAAGGAGCCGGCGUCGGAGGGUUCGACCUUGGAACGAGACAUGGUGGGGGAUGGGCGUGGCGCGGUUAGGGUUUGGGAGGUGGUGGAGGGAGAAGAUGGCAGCGGCGUAAGGCGGCGCUGCGUGGGAGGGGUAGGGAGGGUGGCGGCUGCGAGGAGGGGGCAGCGGCGGCUUAGGGUUUAGGAGGGGUGUGGCGGCGGCUACGGGAGAGUAGCGGCGACGGCGGGAUUGUGUGAGUUGCGGGGGCUACGGCGGCGGGAGGGAGAGUGCGGCGGCGGCCUAGGGUUGAGGAGGCGCGGUGGCGGCUACAGGGAGGUGCAGCGGCGGCGUCGUAGGGCGGAAGCGAUUGAGAUCGUAGGGUAAACUGAUACCAUGUGGAAAGGUGUAGGAUGCAACUCAUUGUAUUCCAUGGAGUAGGUUACAAUAUAUACACAGGAUGUCUUGCAUGACAAGGAAACUAAUCCUACCAUAUCUCUAGGAGUCAACUAUACAAGGCUAGAGAAGAUAGAAUUAGUAAUACAAGAUAUGUCACGUUCAACAAAAACCAUUUCUGUAACUGGCUGGACUUCAGCGCUGCAAACUUUAGAUCAAAUCUAUUGCCAAGGAUCUUUGCGUAUACUUUUACAAUGGUGGAGAAAUUAAUCCAAAUGUUAAGAGGAGGGUUGCGGUAAGCUCCACUACUAGUGUGUUUAAAAUAAAAAAAUGAGUGGUUGGGUGAGAUACUAACAUGGGUUGAGGACUGGAUGUGAAAAUGCAGGCUAGGCCCGAGGGUUACAUGGAAUCGUGACACUGGGAAUUUCAUCCUCUGAUGGCGGAUAAUGCAUACACAACGAGUGUGUUCGCGUUAGAUGUACAUUAAUCUCAAAUUGUCUAAUUCCGGUACUAACUAAUUGUAAUCUUGAUACCAUCUGUUUUGGAGUCCCCCAGCUGAUAUUCCUUGGACUGACAUGGCGAACAUUGAUAGUGUUGCAAACAUGGCAAAUACGGAGCCCGAGCAACAGCCCCACGGCACACGGGUGAUAUGGAUGUGGUGCCAAAUGGUGAACAAGAGACUGUCAAAACGGAACCUGAGCAAACUAUGUUAGCAACCCAAGCCAAUAAUGUGAUGCAAAGUGGAGCCUGAGCGUGGAGUUUACAUACAUGUAAAUGGGGAGGACGCACUCCGUCGCAGGCCAAGAUUUCAGAUUGCUCCGAACGAUAAGGGGAAGGGUCCAAUGGAGGAAAGUGAUCUAGAGUCUUCGGACAGUGAGAAAAGACAUGCCAACCAGGCUUGCUAGGAUAUGUAGGAAGAUGCAAGAGUGUUAAGGCAGCAUGAAAGAGUCCAAUAAAUGAAUGGUAAACCGGCAACAAGGGCUUCCUCCAGUCACAAGUGUGCGAGGUGCGUGUCCGAUGUGGAGCAGAAAGGGUUGAAGGUUUCGAUGCCCCAAUUGCAGCAGUGAGACCUGAAGAUUUACAUGUAGUUGAACCUUACAUCAUUCAUAUGCUCACACAUGCAGCAAGUCCAGCAGCAGGUAUGGUGAAAAAGAGAAAGAGAAUUAGUUUGCACCGAAUACACGAGGCACAUCAUGAUUCUAGUGUGUGUGGUACAAAAAUAUAUAUGUACAUGCUGAGCUGAUACUCCCUCAAAUGUAAAUGAUGAACUGCAGGAGUUGUAGCUGGUAAGUACACAUGAACCUGAGCGUGCAGACAGCAGGAAAAUAAUAAUAAUAAUAACAAAUGCUGUCGUGGGAA